Hyaena hyaena (striped hyena) is the source of this 382-nucleotide long non-coding RNA. RefSeq lists it as uncharacterized. NCBI's taxonomy places the organism in Eukaryota, Metazoa, Chordata, Mammalia, Carnivora, Hyaenidae. The transcript is spliced from 3 exons. The record is from RefSeq and is a predicted model, not a curated record.
AGGAGCUCCUGCCAGGCGAAGCAAAAUCCAGACAUUUGCAAUCCAACACCGCAGAGAAGACCCAGAGAAGGGCUGCGUGAAGAUGAAGGAGAGAUUGGAGUCACAGGAUCAGAAGGAAAAGAUUCUUGGAACAACGGAAGCUGAAGGAGAAAAGGGCUGAGCCACCCUCUGAUGACCAUGCCAUCAAGAAGUCCAAGCCAACCAUAAUAAGAGAGAGAGAGAGAGAGACAGAGACAGAGACAGAGACAGAGACAGAGAGAGAUCGAGAUCCUGUGGAGCAGCACUGAGGUGCCAGACAUGUGGUAAAGCCUUUUCAAAUACAGCCAAGCGAACCCCACCAGACACCACAUAGAUCUAAAGAAACACCCGGCGGAGCCCUACC